Molecule: ribosomal RNA, 528 nt
Filed under: Anterastes ucari
Lineage: Eukaryota; Metazoa; Arthropoda; Insecta; Orthoptera; Tettigoniidae
Description: partial 16S ribosomal RNA
Rfam family: Bacterial large subunit ribosomal RNA
Source: RNAcentral
ACAAAAACAUGGCCUUUUGAGUGGAAUUUAAGGUCGGGCCUGCCCACUGACGUAGUUGAAGGGCCGCGGUAUUUUGACCGUGCAAAGGUAGCAUAAUCAUUAGUCUUUUAAUUGAGGGCUGGAAUGAAUGGUUUGACGAAAUAUUAACUGUCUCUGUAUAAUAAAUGGAAUUUAACUUUUGAGUCAAAAGGCUUAAAUGAAUAUAAAAGACGAGAAGACCCUAUAGAUCUUUAUAUAGUUAAGUAAUUGUUUUAUUUAGUUGUUUUGUAUUCAAUUAUUUUGCUGUAUUUUGUUGGGGUGACAUAAAGAUAAAAAUAACUCUUUAUAAUGGGAACAUUGAUUUAUGAGUGAUUGAUCCGUUAUUAACGAUUAUAAGAUAAAGUUACCUUAGGGAUAACAGCGUAAUUUUUUUUGAGAGUUCUUAUCGACAAGAAAGAUUGCGACCUCGAUGUUGGAUUAAGGAAUAUGAUUAGGUGUAGCAGUUUAAUUAAUAAGUCUGUUCGACUUUUAAAUCCUUACGUCAUCUGA